This 74-nucleotide transfer RNA is filed under the name Neorickettsia helminthoeca str. Oregon. RNAcentral describes it as "tRNA-Arg (TCT) (tRNA-Arg-TCT-1-1)". It matches the Rfam family "tRNA". From Rfam's summary of the family: Transfer RNA (tRNA) molecules are approximately 80 nucleotides in length. Lineage: Bacteria; Pseudomonadati; Pseudomonadota; Alphaproteobacteria; Rickettsiales; Anaplasmataceae. The record is from Rfam by way of RNAcentral.
GCGCCCUUAGCUCAGCUGGAUAGAGCAACAGCCUUCUAAGCUGUGGGUCAGAGGUUCGACUCCUCUAGGGCGUA